GACGAACGCUGGCGGCGUGCUUAACACAUGCAAGUCGAACGAAGAGCGACGGAAGCUUGCUUCUAUCAAUCUUAGUGGCGAACGGGUGAGUAACGCGUAAUCAACCUGCCCUUCAGAGGGGGACAACAGUUGGAAACGACUGCUAAUACCGCAUACGAUCUAAUCUCGGCAUCGAGGAUGGAUGAAAGGUGGCCUCUACAUGUAAGCUAUCACUGAAGGAGGGGAUUGCGUCUGAUUAGCUAGUUGGAGGGGUAACGGCCCACCAAGGCGAUGAUCAGUAGCCGGUCUGAGAGGAUGAACGGCCACAUUGGGACUGAGACACGGCCCAGACUCCUACGGGAGGCAGCAGUGGGGAAUCUUCCGCAAUGGACGAAAGUCUGACGGAGCAACGCCGCGGGAGGGAUGACGGCCGUCGGGUUGUAAAGCUCUGUUAAUCGGGACGAAAGGCCUUCUUGCGAAUAGUGAGAAGGAUUGACGGUACCGGAAUAGAAAGCCACGGCUAACUACGUG
Molecule: ribosomal RNA, 510 nt
Filed under: uncultured bacterium
Lineage: Bacteria
Description: partial 16S ribosomal RNA
Rfam family: Bacterial small subunit ribosomal RNA
Source: RNAcentral